CAGAUUUAGCUGUUACAGAGGUGGAUGCCAUUGGUUUAGGAGAAGCAUGUGAGAUGGACCUAUAUAAGGCCCUUGUAAGGGCACACACACUGACUAUUGGGGGAGAAAUGAGGAUGUGGACAGCUUGGUGUGUGUCCUUGUGCUUCUUUGGAGCAAGAGCUGGAAUCACCCAAACCUCCAGUCUUGUGCUGAAAGAAGAUGACAAAACUACUCUGACAUGCAGUCAAAAUGAUAAUCACCCUUCUAUGUACUGGUAUCUGCAGCAGCCAGGGAAGGGGCUGCAACUGAUCUAUUAUUCCGUAGGUCCAAAUCAAGAAUUUGAGGGUGACUUCCAUAUUGGAUACAAAGCUCAACGGCCAAACCUCUCAGACUUCUCCUUGGCUAUUUUAUCUGUGAAGAUGAACUAUUCCGCUGUCUAUUUCUGUGCCAGCAGUUUGAACACAGCACUUCAAAGUCACUUCCUUUCUUUACAUAAACUUCUCCUUUCCAGCACUUUCUCUGAGAAGGAAGCUGCUCUCAGCACAGGAAGAGGGAGCUGGAAUCACCCAAACCUCCAGUCUUGUGCUGAAAGAAGAUGACAAAACUACUCUGACAUGCAGUCAAAAUGAUAAUCACGAUUUCAUGUCCUGGUAUCUGCAGCAGCCAGGGAAGGGGCUGCAACUGAUCUAUUAUUCCGUAGGUGCAAAUCAGGAAUUAGAGGGUGACUUUCACA
This is a non-coding RNA of Neopsephotus bourkii (Bourke's parrot), 712 nucleotides long. The record is from the annotation of a RefSeq genome assembly. NCBI's taxonomy places the organism in Eukaryota, Metazoa, Chordata, Aves, Psittaciformes, Psittacidae.